CUUUUAUCUACACUCAUCUCUCCCCACUGACAGGAAACUCAAGCUUUGGGAUGCUGGGGAAAUUCCCUGAACUCAUGGGGCAGUGUGGAAAGAAGAGGUUGGGGGAGGGGGGCCAGACAAUGGGAACUGGUGGGGAGGGUGGCCAGGAGGAGCUGCGUGCACCUCUACCGAGAGGGACGUUGUAACCCUGCUCCGCGGUGGAGGGAGCUGUGGCUCCAGCUAGAAGGGAGUAGCUAUUCAGCAGGAUUCAGCAGGGCCUCAUGGCCUGUGCCAGAGCGGGCUAGGGAUGCCGGCUUUUCUGAGGCACGCAGCCCUCUGGGAGAUGCUCCUCCUCUCCUUCUAGAGAGAAAAGGUGGAACCAAAGUAACAGGAGCCUUGAUUUGAGAAAAAUUUCUGAAAGUCAAUCCUUUCUAAUUAUUAUUACUAUUAAUCAGGAAAUGUUAUUCAUGUUUGAAUUGCUAUAAACUGAAAGUCCUUCCUGUCUUCCUUGCAGGCAGGUCAUUCUAGGUUUCUUGAAUGACUUUAUGAAUCUCUGGACUUCAACCAGCUUUGGAAGCCAAGAUAACAUGAUAACAAGAGACCCUUGUCUCUUGCCACUUGAAGUCAGUGGCCUGAAAGGACCACUGAAUUUUGUUAACUCCCCUACAGAUCACCUACUUUGAAAAUCCAUGCUUUUUCCAUUCAUUCUCUUCUCCAGAGGAAAUUGCUGUUCUGAUUUUUAGUUUUGCCUACUCUUGAACUUUUUAAAAACGGAAUCAUCCAAUGUGUACUCUUUUAUGCCUGGCUUUUUUUUGCUCAACUUAAUGUCUGUGAGAUUCACACAUGUUAUUGUGAAUAUUAGUAGUAUACUUUGUAUUCAAUUAAAUAUUCAUUGAAUAAUUCAAAUUAAGCAUUCAAUUGUAGAAAUAUAUGCAGGUUUAUUUAUUCAUUCAUCUGUUGUUGGACAGUUGGGUCAUUUUCAAUAGUUUGACUAUUAUGAAGUGGCUGUAAACAUUAUUAUAUAAGUCUUUUUGCACAUCAUAGGAAAAGAUUGCCAUAAAAUUAUUGUCACUCUUCCUAUUGAGAUGUGGCACCUAUGUUUCAUACCCGUGAAUCUGAACUGGCCCUGUGGCUGGUUUUGAUCAAUAUAAUUUGGCAGAACUGAUGCUGUGUAACUUGUGCAAGGAUAUCUACAGCUUCCACCUUGGUCUUUUGGAAUGAUUCUUCUUGGAACCCAACCCCUGUGCUUUGAGAAGCCUGAGCUAUGUGUAGAGGCCGUAUGGAAGAGAACCAAGGCACUCCAGCUGAUGGGCCUCACUGGGCUCCCAGCUGAGAGCCAGCACCAACCUGCAACCGUGUAAGCAAUCGUCUUGUACUUUCCAACCUAGUCAAAUUUCAGAUGUCUGCAACUCCAGCCACAUGGAGCAAAAGAUUCACAGAGAUGAGUCCAGUCCCCUAUCAACCCAGAUAAUCCUGAGACAAUAAAUAGCUAUUGUUUUAACCCACUAAGUUUUGAGAUAAUUUUUUACACAGAAACAAUCAAAUUAUUUAUUUUCACUUCUUCAGGAUAAGUAUUAGGAAUAGAACUGCUGGACCAUAUAAUACGUGUGUAUUAAUCUUUAUAGAAAAUUACCAAAUUAUUACCAGAGGUAGUUUUACCUUUUCAUACUCCUACUAGCAAAGUAAGAGUGCCCUGGUUUCUCCAUAUCCUCGUCAUAACUGUUUUUAAAUUUUUAGCUACUGGCAGUUAUUCAUGCUAUCCCAUUGGGUUUUUAAUUUUUAUUUCAUGAUUACUAAUAAUGUUGAAAACUUUUCCUUGUGUUUAAUUAUCAUUUGUAAAUUUUCCUUUGUGAAAUCUAUUUACAAAUCUUUUGUCUAUUUUGUUGUAAAUUGAGUUUUUGCCAUUUUAUAUUUGUCGGAGUUAAUUGUAUAUUGUAG
Molecule: long non-coding RNA, 1917 nt
Filed under: Homo sapiens (human)
Lineage: Eukaryota; Metazoa; Chordata; Mammalia; Primates; Hominidae
Description: HSALNT0320246
Source: RNAcentral